CCUACGGGAGGCAGCAGUGGGGAAUAUUGCACAAUGGGGGAAACCCUGAUGCAGCGACGCCGCGUGAGUGAAGAAGUAUUUCGGUAUGUAAAGCUCUAUCAGCAGGGAAGAAAAUGACGGUUACUGAUUAAGAAGCCCCGGCUAACUACGUGCCAGCAGCCGCGGUAAUACGUAGGGGGCAAGCGUUAUCCGGAUUUACUGGGGGUAAAGGGAGCGUAGACGGAUUGGCAAGUCUGAAGUGAAAGGCCGGGGCUCAACCCCGGGACUGCUUUGGAAACGGUGUAGCUAGAGUACAGGAGAGGUAAGCGGAAUUCCUAGUGUAGCGGUGAAAUGCGUAGAUAUUAGGAGGAACACCAGUGGCGAAGGCGGCCUACUGGACUGUAACUGACGUUGAGGCUCGAAAGCGUGGGGAGCAAACAGGAUUAGAUACCCGAGUAGUC
RNAcentral lists this ribosomal RNA (440 nucleotides) under uncultured bacterium. RNAcentral's name for it is "partial 16S ribosomal RNA". It matches the Rfam family "Bacterial small subunit ribosomal RNA", at positions 338 to 795 of the family's 1533-position model. The record is from RNAcentral.